RNAcentral lists this transfer RNA (84 nucleotides) under Candidatus Woesebacteria bacterium. Its description in RNAcentral is "tRNA-Tyr". It matches the Rfam family "tRNA". Rfam says of the family: Transfer RNA (tRNA) molecules are approximately 80 nucleotides in length. Their secondary structure includes four short double-helical elements and three loops (D, anti-codon, and T loops). Lineage: Bacteria; Candidatus Woeseibacteriota. The record is from RNAcentral.
CCAGGGGUGGCGGAGCGGCCAAUCGCAGCAGACUGUAAAUCUGCCGGGUUUAUCCCUACGGGAGUUCGAAUCUCUCCCCCUGGA